Glycine max (soybean) is the source of this 81-nucleotide non-coding RNA. The record is from Rfam. Lineage: Eukaryota; Viridiplantae; Streptophyta; Magnoliopsida; Fabales; Fabaceae.
CUGUUAGAGGAAUGAUGUACUACUAUAAGGCCCUCAAGCUUUUGGCAUUUCUGGAUUCUGCAUCAGAAAUAGAGACCCAAG